RNAcentral lists this ribosomal RNA (324 nucleotides) under uncultured eukaryote. RNAcentral's name for it is "partial 18S ribosomal RNA". It matches the Rfam family "Eukaryotic small subunit ribosomal RNA", at positions 1470 to 1796 of the family's 1831-position model. The record is from RNAcentral.
CCCUUAGAUGUUCUGGGCCGCACGCGCGCUACACUGAUGCAUUCAACGAGUUUCUUCCUGGUCCGAGAGGAAUGGGUAACCUUUUGAAAGUGCAUCGUGAUAGGGAUAGACUAUUGCAAUUAUUGGUCUUCAACGAGGAAUUCCUAGUAGACGUAGUUCAUCAGACUGCAUCGAUUACGCCCCUGCCCUUUGUACACACCGCCCGUCGCUCCUACCGAUUGAAUGCUCAGGUGAGCCAUUCGGACUUUCAUCAUGCUGGUUUCCAGUUUUGAUGAAGGAAAGUCUUGCGAACCUUACCAUUUAGAGGAAGGAGAAGUCGUAACA